This 547-nucleotide ribosomal RNA is filed under the name uncultured bacterium. RNAcentral describes it as "bacterial SSU rRNA". It matches the Rfam family "Bacterial small subunit ribosomal RNA", at positions 355 to 896 of the family's 1533-position model. The record is from RNAcentral.
UGGGGAAUAUUGCACAAUGGGGGGAACCCUGAUGCAGCCAUGCCGCGUGAAUGAAGAAGGCCUUCGGGUUGUAAAGUUCUUUCGGUGACGAGGAAGGUUGGUAUGUUAAUAGCAUAUCAAAUUGACGUUAAUCACAGAAGAAGCACCGGCUAACUCCGUGCCAGCAGCCGCGGUAAUACGGGGGGUGCGAGCGUUAAUCGGAAUAACUGGGCGUAAAGGGCACGCAGGCGGUUAUUUAAGUGAGGUGUGAAAGCCCUGGGCUUAACCUGGGAAUUGCAUUUCAGACUGGGUAACUAGAGUACUUUAGGGAGGGGUAGAAUUCCACGUGUAGCGGUGAAAUGCGUAGAGAUGUGGAGGAAUACCGAAGGCGAAGGCAGCCCCUUGGGAAUGUACUGACGCUCAUGUGCGAAAGCGUGGGGAGCAAACAGGAUUAGAUACCCUGGUAGUCCACGCUGUAAACGCUGUCGAUUUGGGGAUUGGGCUUAGAGCUUGGUGCCCGUAGCUAACGUGAUAAAUCGACCGCCUGGGGAGUACGGCCGCAAGGUUA